UGGGUAAUCUACCUCAAAGUUGGGGAUAACCCGGCGAAAGCUGGGCUAACACCGAAUGUGGUCGGCCCCCGAUGGGGGAUGGACUAAAGGCGGGGAUCUUUCGGGACCUGCCGCUUGAGAGGAGCCCGCGUGCCAUCAGCUUGUUGGUGGGGUAAUGGCCUACCAAGGCUUACGGCUAGCUGGUCUGAGAGGACGACCAGCCGCACUGGGACUGAGACACUGCCCAGACUCCUACGGGAGGCUGCAGUCGAGGAUCUUGGACAAUGGGGGAAACCCUGAUCCAGCGACGCUGCGUGGAGGAUGAAGGCCUUCGGGUUGUAAACUCCUGUCAUUCGGGAAAAACGACCCCACGGAUAAUACCCGUGGGGAGUGAUGGUACCGGAAGAGGAAGCCACGGCUAACUCUGUGCCAGCAGCCGCGGUAAUACAGAGGUGGCAAGCGUUGUUCGGAUUUACUGGGCGUAAAGGGUGCGUAGGUGGUUGCUUAUGUCGGGCGUGAAAGCCCACGGCUCAACCGUGGAAGUGCGUCCGAAACUGGGCGACUGGAGUGCAGGAUGGGAGAGCGGAAUUCUUGGUGUAGCGGUGAAAUGCGUUGAUAUCAAGAAGAACACCGGUGGCGAAGGCGGCUCUCUGGAAUGCAACUGACACUGAGGCACGAAAGAUGGGGGAGCAAACAGGAUUAGAUACCCUGGUAGUCC
Molecule: ribosomal RNA, 697 nt
Filed under: uncultured bacterium
Lineage: Bacteria
Description: bacterial SSU rRNA
Rfam family: Bacterial small subunit ribosomal RNA
Source: RNAcentral